AUCCAGUUGACGAGUUCCGAAUAGGACGAAACGCAAGUCCUGGAC
RNAcentral lists this non-coding RNA (45 nucleotides) under Schistosoma margrebowiei. Lineage: Eukaryota; Metazoa; Platyhelminthes; Trematoda; Strigeidida; Schistosomatidae. The record is from RNAcentral.